GAUGAACGCUGGCGGCGUGCCUAAUACAUGCAAGUCGAGUGAACAGACGAGGAGCUUGCUCCUCUGACGUUAGCAGCGGACGGGUGAGUAACACGUGGAUAACCUACCUAUAAGACUGGGAUAACUUCGGGAAACCGGAGCUAAUACCGGAUAAUAUAUUGAACCGCAUGGUUCAAUAGUGAAAGACGGUUUUGCUGUCACUUAUAGAUGGAUCCGCGCCGCAUUAGCUAGUUGGUAAGGUAACGGCUUACCAAGGCAACGAUGCGUAGCCGACCUGAGAGGGUGAUCGGCCACACUGGAACUGAGACACGGUCCAGACUCCUACGGGAGGCAGCAGUAGGGAAUAUUCCGCAAUGGGCGAAAGCCUGACGGAGCAACGCCGCGUGAGUGAUGAAGGUAUUCGGAUCGUAAAACUCUGUUAUUAGGGAAGAACAAAUGUGUAAGUAACUAUGCACGUCUUGACGGUACCUAAUCAGAAAGCCACGGCUAACUACGUG
Molecule: ribosomal RNA, 497 nt
Filed under: uncultured bacterium
Lineage: Bacteria
Description: partial 16S ribosomal RNA
Rfam family: Bacterial small subunit ribosomal RNA
Source: RNAcentral